AUGGGGACACCAAAAGCUCAACCAUUGCCCCAAACCCAGACUUUGGCCCCAAAUUUCCGGGCGGCCGUGACCCUGCUGGAGUCCGGGGGGGACCUCCAGCCCCCCGGGGGGUCCCUGCGCCUCCUCUGCCGAGGACAAGGAUUCGACAUCGGGAAAUUUGGGAUGUACUGGAUCCGCCAGAGACCCGGGAAGGCGCUGGAAUUCAUCGCGAGCAUCACCAACACCAGUGGUUACACCUGGUACGCUCCAUCCGUGCGUGGCCGGUUCACCAUCACCAGGGACAACGGGCAGAGCUCGGUGACGCUGAGCAUGAACAACCUCCAGGACGAGGAUUCCGGGGUUUAUUUCUGUGCCAAAUCUUAUGAGUAUUUUGCUGCCUAUUUUGUUUAUCGAUUUUGCCCCAAACCCCAGGAUUUCCCCCCAAAGCUCAGCCCUGACCCCGCUCCUGACCCUUUGUCCCCGAGUGUCCCAGCGCUGAGCCCUGAGCCCAAAUCCCCGCCCGGGGCCCCCUGA
This is a non-coding RNA of Poecile atricapillus (Black-capped chickadee), 513 nucleotides long. The record is from the annotation of a RefSeq genome assembly. NCBI's taxonomy places the organism in Eukaryota, Metazoa, Chordata, Aves, Passeriformes, Paridae.